Engraulis encrasicolus (European anchovy) is the source of this 1444-nucleotide long non-coding RNA. RefSeq lists it as uncharacterized. The record is from RefSeq and is a predicted model, not a curated record. Lineage: Eukaryota; Metazoa; Chordata; Actinopteri; Clupeiformes; Engraulidae. The transcript has 5 exons.
UUGAAUGGGUGCGUCGUGUGUAGAACUAGAUGCUGCAGUUUGCAGCUGGUUUGAUUCAUGUCGUGGGUCACUUACCAAUGUAUGUAGGCCUAAUUGGCUAUGACCUUUGAAAUAGUUGAAAGUAAAUCCCAGUAGUAUCUAGUGAAACACACAUGCAAACGCCCUUCUGUCCCUCAUUCCCUCAAACUCGAUCUUCUACAUUUGUUGUGUAAAAAGGACAUAGCAAGUUUUUUGUAUCAAUGAUCACUUUAGGAUAUUCCAGUGCAUUUACAUUCAAUAUAUACUGUACCUUGAGUGAGGUAGAAAUGCAUAUUGUUGCAAAUAUAAAUACUGUUAAUUUGUUAUUUUUUGUAAUUAAUCAUUUACUGAAUUUCUUUGUAGAAUAUGUUACUAUUAUUUGGGUUUUUGUUCUCUGCAUAACUGUCUCUUUCACCUAUAUUAAUUCCUCAGCAUUCAAGAUGUUUGUAGGGUCCUCACCUCAGCUACCUCUCACAAGGUGCCCCUGAAAAAGAAAUUCAAGACGUUUGGGUCCUCAGCUCAACUGACCAAGACCUUUGCUCAUUGAAGGCAUGAAGUAAUUUGUGAUGCCCCCACGAUUGCAGUUUUUAAACGCAGAUGGCUUGCUCUUUUUAACAUGUGCGAGAGCUGGAUGGUCUUUCAACAACACUGCUCCGGGUCUUCAGCAAGAAAGGUGCUUCUCAUGCAAGGAAGAUACAGAGGAUCCUGGUGCCCAUGACUCAGGUAAAACAUGCACACUGCCAUGCAUCACAGUAAUGCUAAAAUUUCAAGAUCUAAUGUAAUGGGGAGAAGUAGGGUGUCUUGGAUCAUAUUGCAUUUCUCCCACUAAUUUCAAUCCUUCAGCCAGUUUUGAACUCAUUGUCUUCACCUCAGUUCUAACUACAGCUGGCUUUACACACAGCAGUCCUGGGCAAUGAUAUAACAGUCUUUUGCAGACUGACAACAUUGAUGUGAAGAGGGAGUGCAUGCUGAGGAGCUGACGGUCUACCUGAAUGAAGAGCCAGACAAAGUGGAUGUUGAUCUGGACGGUCCAGCUGAAACGUAUUGUCUUCGUGUGCGUGUGAUCGGCAGAGAGUCCUCAACGACAUUGGUAACGUACCUGUGGCCAUUGCAGUGUUUGUUUUGGUUUAUGCUCUUAAUCUCUGUUACCUUCCAGAAUGGAAGUACACUUUCAAAUUUCUGUUUCAUUCUAACCGUCUGUUUCAUCAGUUUUUGCACUGCUUUUAAAUGUACACUGUGUAAGAUUCUUAGUUGUUUAUUUCCAGAAUUCAUGCUACCCAUUCACUAAUGUUACCUUUUUCAUGAAUACUUAGCACCACCAUUAGGGUGCAUCAGUUGCCCCCUAUGAAAAGAUAUGGCCUUGGCCCUAUAGUAAAAAUGUUCUACACCCAGUAAAAACACACUGUGUAAAAUAUUUUGAAAUUUG